CACUGCCCUACCCUGGAUCAGUCGCAGACACUGCCCCAAGUCCUCAUCUCCCACUGCUCCCGGGGCUGCCACCACAUUCCUGACAAGGAGCCCCUUUGGACUCUGUGUCCCAGGUUUUGGGGGCUGCAGGGAGCAGGGCAAGGACAGCCUGAAACCAGGGCAGAUCCCUCCCAUUUGGGACACUCUGGGGACAAAUGGGGACUCACCCCACACCACAGGCAGGACUGGGCCCCCCAGUACUGGCCAGCUGUUCUGGAGCCUGUUGGGUUUGGCUGCUCAAACACCAAAGUUCUUGGCAAAGAUGGGAUGAGUUAAGUCUUUUUCCUGUCCUGAAAGAGAAGAGAAAAUGGAAAUUAAGUCCACUGUGAAAAGCAAAGGCUCCUGGCUUUCCCACUUCUCUUCUGUUUGCUCACUAUAGGGUUUAAUUCAUAAAAAAUGAGAGGUGGCACCAAAUAAAAGUGCCCUUUUCCAAUAUUUUUUCCCUACAUUUUUCAUACACAAAAAGGAUUCCCAUUUUUUCUUAUUGCAUUCUUAGCCUAAUUUUAACAGAACCAUUUUAAUUCCAGGCCCUGUUUGUGAGUUAUUCCAUGCUUUGCCAUUGGACUUGGGACAAAGGAGUGGGAGGAUCUGUUCCACAUGGGUGUCAUCCAAUGCUCAGCUCAGCUCCAGUGCUUUCCUUGGGAAAGGAUGUACUGGAAUAAAACCAAUGAUCCUGUCUCACAUGGUACCUGCCCUGGGAGGCCACCACUGUUCUGUUCCUGGCAGAAGGGACCUGCUGGCAGCUGUGGUUCAAGACUUGGCUGUGUGGCAGCAACAUGGAAGGGCUGCACUUGGAGCCUUCUGUCCUUUCCUGUUCUGGGAGCAGGAGCAUUGGUGUGUGCAGGACACUGAUAGUUGUAAUAUUACCUGCAGUUUCCUGGAGCCAUGAAACAGCCAAUACCUGCAGGGUGUUAUUCCCUGACAGCACAUUUGGAGAGAAACAGAUUGCAGGAUACUCUUGUCCAAGCAAGAAGUUUCUUUCCUUCUCCCAGAGAGCUUUGAGGUUUUUCUUGAAGUCAUUCUGCUAAUCUUGGCUGCAGGUAAGGCCACAAAAAUGUAAUGUACUCUCAAGAUGCAUUUUGUCCCCUUUUAUAUAGACCUGUUUAAAAUGAAACAUUGGGAAGGUUCUGGGGGUCUGUUUUCCAAACAAAAGCUUUCCUUCAAAAUAAAUGCACAAACAAACAAACA
This 1227-nucleotide long non-coding RNA is filed under the name Zonotrichia albicollis (white-throated sparrow). Its description in RNAcentral is "lncRNA (ENSZALG00000003708.1)". The record is from RNAcentral. Lineage: Eukaryota; Metazoa; Chordata; Aves; Passeriformes; Passerellidae.